CCGCGGCGGGGGGGCAAUAAAUAGAGGGGGGACAUAGGAAGGCACCGGGUGGGGAGGGCACUGGGCUGUACUGGUCCAUACUGGCAGGACAGAAGGCUGUGUGGGUGAAGAGGUCCCAGUGGGGGUGCCCUACCGGUCCGUACUGGUCCAUACUGGGAGACGCAAGGCCACGUGGGUGAGGAGCUCCCAGUUGAGAUGCCAUACUGGUCCAUACUGGUCCGUACUGGGAUGGCCCAAGGCCACGUGGGUGAAGAGAUUCCAGCUCUGCCGCUGUACUGGUCUGGACUGGGACGGCGCAAGGCCACGCAGGUGAGGAAUCCCGAUGAGGAUGCUGAGAUCUUGGUCAACCUCCUUGGGGGUGUUGGGGUCUUGGCCAACCUCCUUGGGGAUGUCAGGGUCUUCAUCAGCCUUUUUGGGGACACCGGGUCCCCCUCUGGCCUCCCUGGAGGCCUUGGGAUCCUCUGGGAUGUCCCGGGAGACAUGGAGAUCCUCUGUGACACCUCGGUUGGUCUCGGGAUUAUCUGGGACCUCCGACUUCGCUCCACCAUCCUGGGAGAUCUCAGGACUACCUGGCGCACCUUGGGAAACCUUCAGAUCCUCCUGGAUGUUUGUGGAAACCUUAGCAGCAUCUUGGACGUCACUGAUCUUGGGAUCUUCUUGGGCGUUUGUGGGGAUAUUUGGAUCCUCCUGGACAUCUCUGGAGACCUUUGGAUCCUCUUGGAGGUUUCCGCAGCUUUUUGGAGCCUCUAGGACAUCCCCGAGGCCACUCAGCCCCUCAGCGUCGUCUCCAGGCUCCUUCUCCUCUCUCCUAUAGCACCCGGGGGGACCCCAUAGCAACUUGGGCAUGUAUAGCACCAAGGGGCCCCUAUGGCCCCUAAAGAUACCCUAUAGCACCUGAGAGGCUCCUAUAGCACCCAGGAGCUGCUCUAAAGCAUGUGUGGGGGCCCUAUAGCACCUGGGGCCUCUACAGGGACUAGGUGGGUGGCUCUAGUGCCUGGGGGGAGCUCCUAUAGCACUCAAGGGGGUUCCUACAGGUUCUUAGGAUGUUGCAAACACCCCCUUGACCCCCUUGGGAUUCCAAAUCCCCCUCAGGACUGCCCAGAUCCACCCAAAUAUCCCCCAGACCCUUUAGAGCCCCCCAGGACCCCCCAAAUCCCCCCAUCCCCCAUAUCCCUCCCAAAUCCCUC
This 1187-nucleotide long non-coding RNA is filed under the name Struthio camelus australis. RNAcentral's name for it is "lncRNA (ENSSCUG00000000574.1)". Lineage: Eukaryota; Metazoa; Chordata; Aves; Struthioniformes; Struthionidae. The record is from RNAcentral.